Molecule: long non-coding RNA, 364 nt
Organism: Populus trichocarpa (black cottonwood)
Lineage: Eukaryota; Viridiplantae; Streptophyta; Magnoliopsida; Malpighiales; Salicaceae
Exons: 2
Source: RefSeq, a predicted model, not a curated record
GAAAAACUGACGGGAGAAGAGAAGAAAAGGGGAGGAAGAAGAAGAGAAAAGGGGGAAAGAUAAGGGAAGGAGAAGAGAGUUGGAGAAAAUAAGUUUAAAGGUUCUUAGUUUCUGAUAGCAGGUGGACUUUGUUGAGUGUUCCUGUUUCUUCAGUUUUGGUCGGUAUGCCUUGCUUGUUUUGGGAGGCUUUCCUUUUAGUUUUGAUUCGAUGUCUUAGACGCUCCACUAUUACCUUGUUUCAAUUAAGUUUGGAUUUUAACAAUGUAGUGAGUAUUAUGAAUUAUUGUCUUUGUUUUAAUUACUGAUGAAGAGUUUUAAACUAUCUUUUGGUUUCAUCAGUUUUGAAUAAUAUAAUAUUUCUGAA